This 240-nucleotide ribosomal RNA is filed under the name Defluviitalea raffinosedens. RNAcentral describes it as "partial 23S ribosomal RNA". It matches the Rfam family "Bacterial large subunit ribosomal RNA", at positions 1 to 240 of the family's 2925-position model. Lineage: Bacteria; Bacillati; Bacillota; Clostridia; Lachnospirales; Defluviitaleaceae. The record is from RNAcentral.
AGGUCAAGCUAAUAAGAGCAUAGGGUGGAUGCCUUGGCACCAAGAGCCGAAGAAGGACGCGGUAAGCUGCGAAAAGCUCUGGGGAGGCGCAAACGGCCGUAGAUCCAGAGAUGUCCGAAUGGGGAAACCCGACUUGGCGAACCCAAGUCACUGUAUGGUGAAUCCAUAGCCAUACAGGGGGAACGCAGGGAACUGAAACAUCUAAGUACCUGCAGGAGGAGAAAGAAACAUCGAUUUCCU